GUCCUCUUGUUUAUAUAUGAGGUCUGACCUGCCCGGUGAAAAUUAAUUUUAACGGCCGCAGUAUUUUGACUGUGCAAAGGUAGCAUAAUCAUUAGUCUUUUAAUAGGGGGCUGGUAUGAAGGGUUUGACGAGGUGUUAACUGUCUCAUUUAAUUUGAAUUUAGAAUUUAACUUUUCAGUCAAAAGGCUGAAAUUAUAUUGGAAGACGAGAAGACCCUAUAGAGCUUUAUAAUUAAAUUUUUAAUUAUUUUUUGUUUAUUAUUUUUUAUUAUUACUUUAAUUAUUUUGUUGGGGUGACAAAAACAUAUGAUUAACUUUUUUAUUUAUUUAACAUUGAUUUAUGAAUAUUAGAUCCAUUAUUAUUGAUUGUUAGAUUAAGUUACCUUAGGGAUAACAGCGUAAUCUUCCUUCAGAGUUCAUAUUUACGGGAAGGCUUGCGACCUCGAUGUUGGAUUAAGAUAAUAGUUAGGUGUAGCCGCUUAAUAUAUAGGUCUGUUCGACCUUUAAAUUCUU
Molecule: ribosomal RNA, 512 nt
Filed under: Shaogomphus postocularis
Lineage: Eukaryota; Metazoa; Arthropoda; Insecta; Odonata; Gomphidae
Description: partial 16S rRNA
Rfam family: Bacterial large subunit ribosomal RNA
Source: RNAcentral